GGUCACAUGUAUAGGGACACUUCUGUUUGUGUUAUGAAGGUCAGAAGCUUAUCAAUGACACGGAUUAUAUUCGAAACUUUGGGAUCAAAGAUGGUGAUCAGCUUAAAUUUAUUCGGAAUAUGUCCAUUAAUUAUAGACUAGUGAAACAACUAUCUAAAAACAUCAGGGGUGCUUCCAAACAGUGCUCAAUGGGAGAGCAGACCAGUACAAAUGAAGAUGAGGAGGAAGUUCUGGUGCCAAAAUUCCAGUGAUGAGCAUAGUAAUAGCAAAAGCAAUUCCAAUGAUGAGCUUUAAAAAUUGAAGAAAAAUUCAAUGUUGAAGACUGGAUGUCUGAA
Camellia sinensis is the source of this 335-nucleotide non-coding RNA. Lineage: Eukaryota; Viridiplantae; Streptophyta; Magnoliopsida; Ericales; Theaceae. The record is from RefSeq and is a predicted model, not a curated record.